This 425-nucleotide ribosomal RNA is filed under the name uncultured bacterium. RNAcentral's name for it is "bacterial SSU rRNA". It matches the Rfam family "Bacterial small subunit ribosomal RNA", at positions 99 to 518 of the family's 1533-position model. The record is from RNAcentral.
CGCAAGGGUGCGUAACGCGUGAGCAACAUGCCCGUAUCAGGGGGAUAAUCCAGGGGAAACUUGGUCUAAUACCCCAUAGUAAUUUUUGUAAGGCAUCUUAUAAGGAUUUAAAGCUUUGGUGGAUACGGAUUGGCUCGCGUGACAUUAGCUGGAUGGUAAGGUAACGGCUUACCAUGGCUAUGAUGUCUAGGGGUUCUGAGAGGAAGGUCUCCCACACUGGAACUGAGACACGGUCCAGACUCCUACGGGAGGCAGCAGUGAGGAAUAUUGGACAAUGGAUGGAAAUCUGAUCCAGCCAUGCCGCGUAGAAGGAAGAAGGUCCUAUGGAUUGUAAACUUCUUUUGUAUGGGAGCAAUAAGGCCUACGUGUAGGUUGAUGAGAGUACCAUACGAAUAAGCACCGGCUAACUCCGUGCCAGCCGCUGC